UUUCCGUAGGUGAACCUGCGGAAGGAUCAUUACCAAAUCAACGGCCGAAAGGCCUUGCCCUAGGGGGGGAAACCCACCGACGGUAAACCCUUUGUGAAAACCCUUCGUUUGCCUCGGCGGCACGUCCCCUCACGGGGGUGGUCAGCCCGCCGACGGCACCAACCAAAACUCUUUUUUGAAUUGAAGAAUGUCUGAAUCAAUGGUCGAAUGACUAUAAAACUUUCAACAACGGAUCUCUUGGUUCCCGCAUCGAUGAAGAACGCAGC
This 266-nucleotide unclassified non-coding RNA is filed under the name uncultured fungus. RNAcentral's name for it is "sequence contains ITS1, 5.8S rRNA gene". The stretch from base 218 to 266 matches the Rfam family "5.8S ribosomal RNA", at positions 1 to 49 of the family's 154-position model. Lineage: Eukaryota; Fungi. The record is from RNAcentral.